GAACGCUGGCGGCGUGCUUAAUACAUGCAAGUUGAGCGGAGCCAUUGAUGAAGCUUGCGAUUCAAUGGUCGAGCGGCGGACGGGUGAGUAACGCGUGGGCAACCUGCCCUCUAGUCUGGGAUAACAGUUCGAAAGGGCUGCUAACACCGGAUAAGCUCACGGAGAGGCAUCUUUCAGUGAGAAAAGUUUACGCUAGAGGAUGGGCCCGCGUCCCAUUAGCUAGUUGGUGAGGUAACGGCUCACCAAGGCGCCGAUGGGUAGCCGACCUGAGAGGGUGACCGGCCACACUGGGACUGAGACACGGCCCAGACUCCUACGGGAGGCAGCAGUAGGGAAUUUUCCGCAAUGGGCGAAAGCCUGACGGAGCAACGCCGCGUGAGGGAAGAAGGUCUUCGGAUCGUAAACCUCUGUCUUCAGGGACGAUGAUGACGGUACCUGAGGAGGAAGCCACGGCUAACUACGUGCCAGCAGCCGCGGUAAUACGUAGGUGGCGAGCGUUGUCCGGAAUUACUGGGCGUAAAGGGCGUGUAGGCGGCCAUUUAAGUCAGAUGUGAAAUACCAUGGCUUAACCAUGGGACUGCAUUUGAGACUGGAUGGCUUGAGGAUCGGAGAGGGCAGUGGAAUUCCCAGUGUAGCGGUGAAAUGCGUAGAUAUUGGGAGGAACACCAGUGGCGAAGGCGACUGCCUGGACGACACCUGACGCUGAGGCGCGAAAGCUAGGGGAGCAAACGGGAUUAGAUGCCCCGGUAGUCCUAGCCGUAAACGAUGGGUACUAGGUGUGGGAGGUAUCGACCCCUUCCGUGCCGCAGUUAACACAAUAAGUACCCCGCCUGGGGAGUACGGCCGCAAGGUUGAAACUUAAAGGAAUUGACGG
This 874-nucleotide ribosomal RNA is filed under the name Bacillus sp. enrichment culture clone 0-26H03. Its description in RNAcentral is "bacterial SSU rRNA". It matches the Rfam family "Bacterial small subunit ribosomal RNA", at positions 31 to 916 of the family's 1533-position model. Lineage: Bacteria; Bacillati; Bacillota; Bacilli; Caryophanales; Bacillaceae. The record is from RNAcentral.